This 366-nucleotide unclassified non-coding RNA is filed under the name soil metagenome. Its description in RNAcentral is "partial contains 5.8S ribosomal RNA, internal transcribed spacer 2, and large subunit ribosomal RNA". The stretch from base 1 to 120 matches the Rfam family "5.8S ribosomal RNA", at positions 35 to 154 of the family's 154-position model. The record is from RNAcentral.
GAUGAAGAACGUAGCGAAUUGCGAUAAGUAAUGUGAAUUGCAGAAUUCCGUGAAUCAUCGAAUCUUUGAACGCAAAUUGCACUCUCUGGUAUCCCGGAGAGUAUGCCUGUUUGAGGGUCGGUAAAAUGAAAUAUCGAUGUGUUGCUUUUUUUUUGCAACAUUUCGGAAUUGGGUUAACUUGAUCCUCUCAAGUGACCUAAAAUUCAUUACUUCGGUAUGAUUAACGUAUUUAAUUAUUUCGUUUUGAAUGCCGAAAAUUAUUAGAUGUGGCUAUUUAACAUAGCAUCACUUCUAUAAUUUUUUGAAUUUCGACCUCAAAUCAGGUAAGAGUACCCGCUGAACUUAAGCAUAUCAAUAAGCGGAGGA